This 284-nucleotide ribosomal RNA is filed under the name uncultured bacterium. RNAcentral's name for it is "partial 16S ribosomal RNA". It matches the Rfam family "Bacterial small subunit ribosomal RNA", at positions 337 to 638 of the family's 1533-position model. The record is from RNAcentral.
UCCUACGGGAGGCAGCAGUCGGGAAUAUUGCGCAAUGGAGGAAACUCUGACGCAGUGACGCCGCGUAUAGGAAGAAGGUUUUCGGAUUGUAAACUAUUGUCGUGAGGGAAGAAAUUGACAGUACCUCAGGAGGAAGCUCCGGCUAACUAUGUGCCAGCAGCCGCGGUAAUACAUAGGGAGCAAGCGUUAUCCGGAUUUAUUGGGUGUAAAGGGUGCGUAGACGGGAAAUUAAGAUAGUUGUGAAAUCCCUCGGCUUAACUGAGGAACAGAAACUAAAACUGAUU